Long non-coding RNA from Mus musculus (house mouse), 499 nucleotides. RefSeq annotates it as predicted gene, 53450. NCBI's taxonomy places the organism in Eukaryota, Metazoa, Chordata, Mammalia, Rodentia, Muridae. The record is from RefSeq and is a predicted model, not a curated record. The transcript has 3 exons.
GAUCCCAUGGAGAGUCCUCUGUGGAUCUUGGGGGUGUCCGCAGACUCUGUGCCAAAGGUGCCCCGGUGCUGGCGCCGACCGGAAGGUCGGGAAUACAUUUCUAAUCACCCAGAAGUUGCCUGAUGUCCCUGCCAAGUCCACAUCCACACUUUCCCAGCCAGAGGUAUCUGUUCCACUUCCUUCCUUGUCCCCUCAAAGAUCUUGGCUAACAUAAGACAUCAAGGCAACACCUUCUUUGUAGAUGGAAGAGCUGCGUUGAUCUUGAGAAAACUACUCUCUGUGCUUCCGUGUCUCGAAGAAGUCAUCUCUAGUUGAGAGGGCCAAUAUGGCAGAUGCCAGUCACCUGUGGCCAGAGCGCUCGGAAUGUGAGACCAGAUUUUAGCUUAAUUUUAAUUAUUUAACAUUUAAAUUCAAAUUGCUGUGACUAAUGGCUGUGAUAUAGAAUCCACCACUAGAGGACAGCACUGGGUGGCUUCAAGCCACAUAUAUACACAACCUC